UACAGAGGCCUCGAGCGUUAGGCGGAAUCACUGGGCUUAAAGCGUGUGUAGGCGGACUUCUAAGUCACUUGUGAAAUCCCACGGCUUACCCGUGGAACUGCUCGGUAUACUGGUUGUCUUGAGCCACCUAGGGGCGAGUGGAACAAAUGGUGGAGCGGUGAAAUGCGUAGAUAUCAUUUGGAACGCCAAUGGUGAAAACAACUCGCUGGGGGUGUGCUGACGCUGAGACACGAAAGCCAGGGGAGCGAACGGG
This 253-nucleotide ribosomal RNA is filed under the name uncultured bacterium. RNAcentral describes it as "partial 16S ribosomal RNA". It matches the Rfam family "Bacterial small subunit ribosomal RNA", at positions 524 to 776 of the family's 1533-position model. The record is from RNAcentral.